UACGUAGGGUGCAAGCGUUGUCCGGAAUUAUUGGGCGUAAAGAGCUUGUAGGCGGUUUGUCGCGUCUGCUGUGAAAUUUCGGGGCUCAACCCCGAACUUGCAGUGGGUACGGGCAGACUAGAGUGUGGUAGGGGAGACUGGAAUUCCUGGUGUAGCGGUGAAAUGCGCAGAUAUCAGGAGGAACACCGAUGGCGAAGGCAGGUCUCUGGGCCACUACUGACGCUGAGAAGCGAAAGCAUGAGGAGCGAACAGG
RNAcentral lists this ribosomal RNA (253 nucleotides) under uncultured bacterium. RNAcentral describes it as "partial 16S ribosomal RNA". It matches the Rfam family "Bacterial small subunit ribosomal RNA", at positions 524 to 776 of the family's 1533-position model. The record is from RNAcentral.